AAGGAAUAUUGGUCAAUGGACGCAAGUCUGAACCAGCCAUGCCGCGUGAAGGAUGAAGGUCCUCUGGAUUGUAAACUUCUUUUAUCUGGGACGAAAACGGGAUUUUUAUCUCAAUUGACGGUACCAGAGGAAUAAGCACCGGCUAACUCCGUGCCAGCAGCCGCGGUAAUACGGAGGGUGCGAGCGUUGUCCGGAUUUACUGGGUUUAAAGGGUGCGUAGGUGGGCUUAUAAGUCAGUGGUGAAAUCUCCGAGCUUAACUUGGAAACUGCCGUUGAUACUAUAGGUCUUGAAUUAUCUGGAGGUAAGCGGAAUAUGUCAUGUAGCGGUGAAAUGCUUAGAUAUGACAUAGAACACCAAUUGCGAAGGCAGCUUACUACACAAUCAUUGACACUGAGGCACGAAAGCGUGGGUAGC
This 415-nucleotide ribosomal RNA is filed under the name uncultured bacterium. RNAcentral describes it as "bacterial SSU rRNA". It matches the Rfam family "Bacterial small subunit ribosomal RNA", at positions 356 to 769 of the family's 1533-position model. The record is from RNAcentral.